Non-coding RNA from Leptospirillum ferrodiazotrophum, 77 nucleotides. NCBI's taxonomy places the organism in Bacteria, Pseudomonadati, Nitrospirota, Nitrospiria, Nitrospirales, Nitrospiraceae. The record is from Rfam.
CCGAGCCGGAUGAGGCGAAAGUCUCAAGUCCGGUUCCGAGGGGGGUUGGGCUCAGUGGUGGGCCCCGCCUAACCGAC